Molecule: long non-coding RNA, 1349 nt
Filed under: Gossypium barbadense (sea-island cotton)
Lineage: Eukaryota; Viridiplantae; Streptophyta; Magnoliopsida; Malvales; Malvaceae
Description: long non-coding RNA (GBAR_LNC006852)
Source: RNAcentral
GAAUACUGUAAUAGGCCCAUUUCACCCAGGCCCAUAAAUUAUCCAAAAAAUAAUAAAUAGAAUAAAUUAAAUAUAAAAAUCAAUGUUUAAAGUUCAGAUACAGUCUUCAUUAGCCCAGAUACAAAUUGUAGCCCAAUUUAAAAACCCAUUUUACAAGUAAAUCCAAAGCCCGAUUAUUAAACUAAUCUAACCCUAACCCAAAAUUUCAGCCCAAAACCUAAAAACAUUUUAGCGAACCCUAGCUAGACCAGUGCCGUAAGACCUCCACGCGCGCCACCACGUGCACCUCCGUAUGACCAUCUCCACGUCAGUCGAACCUGCGAGAAGAAAAGAGUAACAGAAUACAGCAAAGCAGUAGCAAAAAAAAUAAGAAAAAUUUGUAUUUAUACUUUACCUCUAUUUGGCUAUAAAAGAGGAGGCCGAUUGUAUACAAAAAAGAAGGGAGACGCAUACAGAUUAAAAAAAAAAGCAAUCAAAAGUGCGAAAAGUAAUUUUCAGAAGGUGAUUCUCCUUCUUUUUAUGUUUAUUUUGAUUGGAGUGUGUCAUUUCAUUGUUUUUUCUUUUUCUGUUCUUUCUUUCAUUUUGCAUCUACUACAAAAUAAAAAAAUGUGAUAAAAAGGAGUGGCUCACCUGAACUGAUUGGUAUACCGUCGGAGUUUUUCCUCCGUUAAAACCAAAUCCAACAGAGGUUGAGGCUUUCUUUUUUAUGCUUUGUGAUUGAAGGUGCUAGAUCUUGAACUAAAUGAGGUUAGAAAGGGAGAGAUUUAUUCACCGUCGGCCACUGUUUGUGGCGAUAGUACGGCGGCUAGGGAUUGGUCUUUUGAGGAUCGGUUAAAUGAGGGAAGAGGUCUAGGGUUUGGUUUCAAUAAGGGAUUGAUUGAUCUGAUAAGGGAAAUUGUUUUUAGAUACGUGAGGAAACGACGUCGUUUGGGGCCCGUUUCAGUGGCCUCAAAAUGACGUCAUAUAGGCCUUAUCCGACCUGACCCGAUCCGAUGCCCUCAGGAUCCGCGUGUUUUUGCGGUGAAGGGAUAUUUUCGCGCUUAGUCCCUCCCUUUUGCGCUGUCAUUUGAUUAGGCCCUGUUUAUAUUUUCUUCUUUUUUAAUGUUUCUCAAAUAUUUGUACGCUUUUUAAUUUGGUACAUAUUUAAACGCUGCGUUCAGUAUCUUGGGAUAAUUGUGUUUUAAUCCCCAUUCGUUUGAACACAUUGUGUUUUAAUCCCUAAUUCUAUUUUAAUGAUUUAUUUAUUCAUGGAUUAUCCCUUUUAUUUUGUUUUUAUUUCAAUUGAGUUUUUUUAGUUUUUUUUACUCAUUGUAAUUAUUUUAUUUUUUAAAAAAAAUUAUCAUUCGUUU